Molecule: long non-coding RNA, 1043 nt
Organism: Homo sapiens (human)
Lineage: Eukaryota; Metazoa; Chordata; Mammalia; Primates; Hominidae
Product: long intergenic non-protein coding RNA 2202
Source: Ensembl
AUUAACAUCCCGCUCCCGGUGGCGCAGGGGAGCCGGCCAAAGUUCCUCGCAAAGUGGCGAGCGAAGGAGCGCUGAGCACUGACGUCUGGGCUGGGGAGGAGCGGGUCCGAGCGAGGACGGAGAGGGGACAGAGGGAAAGGGAGGCGGGUGUCUUCCUCAGGAAUUUGAGCUGGGGAUCUGCAUCCUGGCCAUUGCAGUCCUUUAGCAUCCUCGCCGCGCCCUGAGCGCGCUGGAGGCUCGCAGGCUGCGCCCUCCCAGGGCUGAUGCCGCGUCCUGCUCCGCCGUUCUGGGACGUCGGGGACAAAAGUGGAGGAGACGGGAGAGCCCGGGCAGAAAAAGCAGGACGCGCGUCCCAGGUGCCCACCUCUUCGCUUUGAGGCGGGGGCGGUGGGAUGGAAUAUGGGUGCGCGAGGUCGGGGCUGGUAACUCUCGGAGGGGCACGGCCUCCACGCUGGGAGGGAUGAAUGGACGCUGGGCCCCGGCAAAUGAGGCGCUGUGGGUCCCCAGGAAGUGGGGUACCAGGCUCUACUCCCACCCCGGCCUCUGAAACGCUUCUCUCUCGGCCGCUAGCCUAGAGGCUGCCAGGGUUGGGCACUGUUCUCACUCACACGCUCACCUCUCUCGGGCAGUCCUCGAGAUAUGUGAAUGGUGGAAUGAAUGCUCUCACUGGGGCUGUGUCAGGAUGCGUUUUUAAAUUUUCUCAAAUUAAAUGCCAACCCCUCAUUCCCCACCCCAAGUAGUUGGUUCGUUUGUUUUUAGAGUAACUACCAAAGCAACAGCAAUGUUAACCGUCCUUGAUUAGCUGGUUAUUUGGUGUAGGGUUUUUCUCAUCCUCCUUUAUUCUUCCUGUUAAAAAGGAGGGCUUGAACAAAUCCUUCCUAACUCUGUCUCUGCCAUAUGAAAAGGGUGGGGGGAGAAGAGAAGGAAGGUGGGGAGAAAGGACAAAAAAGGAAGAAGGGGAAGAGAAAAUGGGAAGGAAGGAGGGAGAGAGAAAGGAGAGAAGGAGAAGGAACGAAUGGAAAUGGGAGAGAUGGAAGGAAAAA